Molecule: ribosomal RNA, 591 nt
Filed under: Williopsis samutprakarnensis
Lineage: Eukaryota; Fungi; Ascomycota; Saccharomycetes; Phaffomycetales; Wickerhamomycetaceae
Description: eukaryotic LSU rRNA
Rfam family: Eukaryotic large subunit ribosomal RNA
Source: RNAcentral
AAACCAACAGGGAUUGCCUCAGUAACGGCGAGUGAAGCGGCAAAAGCUCAAAUUUGAAAUCUGGUUACCCCCCUUCGGUGCCCGAGUUGUAAUUUGAAGAUGGAUUUCUGGCGCUGGCCCCCUGUCUAUGUUCCUUGGAACAGGACGUCACAGAGGGUGAGAAUCCCGUCUGGCGGGGGUGGACCAGCGCUGUGUAGAUUUCCAUCGACGAGUCGAGUUGUUUGGGAAUGCAGCUCUAAGUGGGUGGUAAAUUCCAUCUAAAGCUAAAUAUUGGCGAGAGACCGAUAGCGAACAAGUACAGUGAUGGAAAGAUGAAAAGAACUUUGAAAAGAGAGUGAAAAAGUACGUGAAAUUGUUGAAAGGGAAGGGUAUUAGAUCAGACUUGGUGUUUUGUGAUUAUCUGUCCUUCUUGGGCUGUGCACUCGCAUUUCACCGGGCCAGCAUCGGUUUGGGUGGCAAGACAAUGGCAUGGGGAACGUGGCACUGUCUCCGGGCAGUGUGUUUAUAGCCCCUGCUGAUGUUGCCUGCCUAGACCGAGGACUGCGGCUUCUGCCUAGGAUGCUGGCGUAAUGAUCUAACACCGCCCGUCUG